This 465-nucleotide ribosomal RNA is filed under the name uncultured bacterium. Its description in RNAcentral is "partial 16S ribosomal RNA". It matches the Rfam family "Bacterial small subunit ribosomal RNA", at positions 338 to 795 of the family's 1533-position model. The record is from RNAcentral.
CCUACGGGAGGCAGCAGUGGGGAAUAUUGCGCAAUGGGCGAAAGCCUGACGCAGCGACGCCGCGUGAGGGAUGAAGGUCUUCGGAUCGUACACCUCUGUCAGCAGGGAAGAACGGUCACUGUGCUAAUCAGCAGUGAAUUGACGGUACCUGCAAAGGAAGCACCGGCUAACUCCGUGCCAGCAGCCGCGGUAAUACGGAGGGUGCGAGCGUUAAUCGGAAUUACUGGGCGUAAAGCGCUCGUAGGCGGUAUGUCAAGUCAAGGGUGAAAUCCCCGCGCUCAACGUGGGAACUGCCUUUGAAACGGGCAAAAUGGAGUGUGUGAGAGGAUAGUGGAAGUCCAGGGGUAGGAGUGAAAUCCGUAGAUAUCUGGAGGAACAUCAGUGGCGAAGGCGACUAUCUGGCACAUAACUGACGCUGAGGAGCGAAAGCGUGGGUAGCAAACAGGAUGAGAUACCCCAGUAGUC